This 354-nucleotide RNase P RNA is filed under the name Candidatus Acetothermia bacterium. Its description in RNAcentral is "RNase P RNA component class A". It matches the Rfam family "Bacterial RNase P class A". Rfam says of the family: Ribonuclease P (RNase P) is a ubiquitous endoribonuclease, found in archaea, bacteria and eukarya as well as chloroplasts and mitochondria. Its best characterised activity is the generation of mature 5'-ends of tRNAs by cleaving the 5'-leader elements of precursor-tRNAs. Cellular RNase Ps are ribonucleoproteins. The record is from RNAcentral. Lineage: Bacteria; Candidatus Bipolaricaulota.
AGAGAAGGCCAAGGGGUCGCGGAGGAUGAUCCACUAGGAUUUUCCUCUGAGGAAAGUCCGGACUCCAUAGGGCAGAUCACUGGGGAAAUCCCAGCGGGGGCGACCUCAGGGAGAGUGCAGCAGAGAGCAGACCGCCGAUGGCCCACGGCUGCUGGCCUUCGGGCACAGGCAAGGGUGAAACGGUGGUGUAAGAGACCACCAGCGAUUCGGGUGACCGGGUCGGCUCGGUAAACCCUGAUCGGAGCAAGGCCAAGUAAGAGGGCGCACGAGGACGGCCCGUCCGAGCCCUCGGGUAGGCCGCAUCAGUUGAAUGACCCCUCACGACAGAAUCCGGCUUACCGGCCUUCUCUUCCU